UACGUAGGGUGCAAGCGUUAAUCGGAAUUACUGGGCGUAAAGCGUGCGCAGGCGGUUAUGUAAGACAGAUGUGAAAUCCCCGGGCUCAACCUGGGAACUGCAUUUGUGACUGCAUAGCUAGAGUACGGUAGAGGGGGAUGGAAUUCCGCGUGUAGCAGUGAAAUGCGUAGAUAUGCGGAGGAACACCGAUGGCGAAGGCAAUCCCCUGGACCUGUACUGACGCUCAUGCGACGAAAGCGUGGGGAGCAAACAGG
RNAcentral lists this ribosomal RNA (254 nucleotides) under uncultured bacterium. Its description in RNAcentral is "partial 16S ribosomal RNA". It matches the Rfam family "Bacterial small subunit ribosomal RNA", at positions 524 to 776 of the family's 1533-position model. The record is from RNAcentral.